CCUACGGGAGGCAGCAGUAGGGAAUUUUCGUCAAUGGGCGCAAGCCUGAACGAGCAAUGCCGCGUGAACGAGGAAGGUCUUCGGAUCGUACAGUUCUGUUGAAGGGGUAAAAGAGCGGAGAGAGGAAAUGCUUUCUGAUUGAUAUUACCCUUCGUGGAAGUCACCGCUAACUACGGGCCAGCAGCCGCGGUAAUACGUAGUUGGCGAGCGUUAGCCGGAAUGAUUGGGCGUAAAGGGUGCGUAGGCGGCCUGCUAAGUCUGGAGGGAAAGGUAGCGGAUCAACCGGUACAGGCUCUGGAAACUUGCGGGCUAGAGAGCAGGAGAGGGCGGUGGAACUCCAUGUGUAGCGGUAAAAUGCGUAGAUAUAUGGAAGAACACCAGUGGCGAAGGCGGUCGCCUGGCCUGUUAACUGACGCUGAGGCACGAAAGCGUGGGGAGCAAAUAGGAUUAGAUACCCCAGUAGUC
This 465-nucleotide ribosomal RNA is filed under the name uncultured bacterium. Its description in RNAcentral is "partial 16S ribosomal RNA". It matches the Rfam family "Bacterial small subunit ribosomal RNA", at positions 338 to 795 of the family's 1533-position model. The record is from RNAcentral.